AGAGAGAGACAUGCGCGCAUAUCAAUAAGCGGAGGAAAAGAAACUAACAAGGAUUCCCCUAGUAACGGCGAGUGAAGCGGGAAGAGCUCAAAUUUGAAAUCUUAAAGGGUUUCCCUUUACGAAUUGUAGUUUAAAGAAGUGUUUUCUGUUGAGGUUUUGGUAAAAGUUCUUUGGAAUAGGACAUCAUAGAGGGUGAGAAUCCCGUAUUUGACCUUUACUUUCAACUUUGUGAUACACUUUCAAAGAGUCGGAUUGUUUGGGAAUGCAGUCCAAAAUGGGUGGUAAAUUUCAUCUAAAGCUAAAUAUUGGCGAGAGACCGAUAGCGAACAAGUACCGUGAGGGAAAGAUGAAAAGAACUUUGAAAAGAGAGUUAAACAGUACGUGAAAUUGUCAAAAGGGAAGCGUUUGACACCAGUGUUGUUUUUCUGAAAAUCAAUUAAAGAACUGUUUAUGCUAAGCUGUUUAGACUUUAUUAGCUAACUGUUUAGUUUUGAGCUUUUCUUUAAUGCACUUUUCAGUUAACAAGUCAACAUCAAUUUCUUUUGCUGUAACAAAGCUUGAGGAAGGUGGCUUGAGAUUCGUCUUAAGUGUUUAUAGCCUCUUGCCUAUGCAGUCGGAGAGAUUGAGGUCUGCAGCGUAGAUCCUUCGGGGCUAAAUGCAUUUGUGCUAAGUUAUAGCAUUUUAUAGACAACUUGUUGACUAUGAUUUGUCUUGUAGCUUACUCGCUUAUGUUAUUUUACCUACGCUUAGGAUGUUGAGCGCAUGUCUCUCUCU
This 774-nucleotide ribosomal RNA is filed under the name uncultured Neocallimastigales. RNAcentral's name for it is "partial large subunit ribosomal RNA". It matches the Rfam family "Eukaryotic large subunit ribosomal RNA", at positions 23 to 616 of the family's 3401-position model. The record is from RNAcentral. Lineage: Eukaryota; Fungi; Neocallimastigomycota; Neocallimastigomycetes; Neocallimastigales.